GGGGGAUAGCACGGGGAAACUCGUAUUAAUACCGCAUACAACCUACGGGAGAAAGGGGGCAGUUUACUGCUCUCGCUAUUAGAUGAGCCUAAGUCGGAUUAGCUAGAUGGUGGGGUAAAGGCCUACCAUGGCGACGAUCUGUAGCUGGUCUGAGAGGAUGAUCAGCCACACCGGGACUGAGACACGGCCCGGACUCCUACGGGAGGCAGCAGUGGGGAAUAUUGGACAAUGGGGGAAACCCUGAUCCAGCCAUGCCGCGUGUGUGAAGAAGGCCUUUUGGUUGUAAAGCACUUUAAGCAGUGAAGAAGACUCCAUGGUUAAUACCCAUGGACGAUGACAUUAGCUGCAGAAUAAGCACCGGCUAACUCUGUGCCAUCAGCCGCGGUAAUACAGAGGGUGCAAGCGUUAAUCGGAAUUACUGGGCGUAAAGGGAGCGUAGGUGGCUCUAUAAGUCACAUGUGAAAUCCCCGGGCUUAACCUGGGAACUGCAUCUGAAACUGUAGAGCUAGAGUAUGUGAGAGGAAGGUAGAAUUCCAGGUGUAGCGGUGAAAUGCGUAGAGAUCUGGAGGA
This 570-nucleotide ribosomal RNA is filed under the name Psychrobacter sp. 6FA5. RNAcentral describes it as "bacterial SSU rRNA". It matches the Rfam family "Bacterial small subunit ribosomal RNA", at positions 138 to 705 of the family's 1533-position model. Lineage: Bacteria; Pseudomonadati; Pseudomonadota; Gammaproteobacteria; Moraxellales; Moraxellaceae. The record is from RNAcentral.